ACGGGAGGCAGCAGUGGGGGAUAUUGCACAAUGGGGGAAACCCUGAUGCAGCGACGCCGCGUGAGUGAUGAAGUAUUUUGGUAUGCAAAGCUCUAUCAGCAGGGAAGAAAAUGACGGUACCUGACUAAGAAGCACCGGCUAAAUACGUGCCAGCAGCCGCGGUAAUACGUAUGGUGCAAGCGUUAUCCGGAUUUACUGGGUGUAAAGGGAGCGUAGACGGCAUAGCAAGCCAGAUGUGAAAUGCGGGGGCUCAACCCCUGAACUGCAUUUGGAACUGUUAAGCUAGAGUACCGGAGAGGUAAGUGGAAUUCCUAGUGUAGCGGUGAAAUGCGUAGAUAUUAGGAGGAACACCAGUGGCGAAGGCGGCUUACUGGACGAUAACUGACGUUGAGGCUCGAAAGCGUGGGGAGCAAACAGGAUUAGAUACCCUGGUA
RNAcentral lists this ribosomal RNA (434 nucleotides) under uncultured bacterium. RNAcentral describes it as "partial 16S ribosomal RNA". It matches the Rfam family "Bacterial small subunit ribosomal RNA", at positions 341 to 792 of the family's 1533-position model. The record is from RNAcentral.